UACGUAGGGUCCGAGCGUUGUCCGGAAUCAUUGGGCGUAAAGAGCUCGUAGGCGGCCUGUCGCGUCUGCUGUGAAAUCCCGGGGCUUAACCCCGGGCGUGCAGUGGAUACGGGCUGGCUGGAGGCAGGCAGGGGAGAACGGAAUUCCCGGUGUAGCGGUGAAAUGCGCAGAUAUCGGGAGGAACACCGGUGGCGAAGGCGGUUCUCUGGGACGGUAUUGACGCUGAGACGCGAAAGCGUGGGGAGCAAACAGG
RNAcentral lists this ribosomal RNA (253 nucleotides) under uncultured bacterium. RNAcentral describes it as "partial 16S ribosomal RNA". It matches the Rfam family "Bacterial small subunit ribosomal RNA", at positions 524 to 776 of the family's 1533-position model. The record is from RNAcentral.